AUUGAACGCUGGCGGCAGGCCUAACACAUGCCAGUCGAACGGUAACAGGAAGAAGCUUGCUUCUUUGCUGACGAGUGGCGGACGGGUGAGUAAUGUCUGGGAAACUGCUUGAUGGAGGGGGAUAACUACUGGAAACGGUAGCUAAUACCGCAUAACUUCGCAAGCCCAAAGAGGGGGACCUUCGGGCCUCUUGCCAUCGGCUGUGCCCAGGUGGCAUUAGCUAGUAGGUGGGGUAACGGCUCACCUAGGCGACGAUCCGUAGCUGGUCUGAGAGGAUGACCGGCCACACUGGAACUGAGACACGGUCCAGACUCCUACGGGAGGCAGCAGUAGGGAAUAUUGCGCAAUGGGCGCAAGCCUGAUGCAGCAAUGCCGCGUGUAUGAAGAAGGCCUUCGGGUUGUAAAGUACUUUUAGCGGGGAUGAAGGGAGUAAAGAUAAUACCUUGGCUCAUUGACGUUACCCGCAGAAGAAGCACCGGCUAACUACGUG
Molecule: ribosomal RNA, 490 nt
Filed under: uncultured bacterium
Lineage: Bacteria
Description: partial 16S ribosomal RNA
Rfam family: Bacterial small subunit ribosomal RNA
Source: RNAcentral